Long non-coding RNA from Gallus gallus (chicken), 5120 nucleotides. RefSeq lists it as uncharacterized. Lineage: Eukaryota; Metazoa; Chordata; Aves; Galliformes; Phasianidae. The record is from RefSeq and is a predicted model, not a curated record. The transcript has 2 exons.
GGAGAGGUUCUGUCCCUGAAUCAAAUAUGAAUUCUCACUGAGAACACAUUCUCACCUGAAUUAGAGCAUACAGAGCCUAUGAGAGUUCCUGAAGAUUUCACUGAGACUAAGCACUACAAAUACAAAUAUUUGAAACACACUGGCUAAAACUUCCUGACCAAACACCCUGAACAAUGUACAUGUGUGGAUCUGAGGGAGAUAUGAAUUCAGUCUGGAUCCAGUCCCACAAGGAUCAAUCCCAUGUUGUACAGUACAAAGCAUAACUUUGAGAUUGAAGGGAACUGAAAAUAAAUCCUCAGUUCUGCUUUGGUAAUUUUCCUUUACAGAUAUGCGAAGCACAAACGUUCACAAACAAUAUUCUUACAGAAGGUAUUCUUCUCUUUCAAAUAAUUAUUAUUUAAGGAAAUUCUAACCUCACUUAAAAUGAGAUGGAUCAUGUGAUCAUGCAGAGCUUUGUUGUAGAAAAUAAAUACUAUUAAAAGUAAAAUUAGCUUUGGAAAAGCUCAGGCAACAACCACAAUCAGUCAGCCUAGCAGGCUUAAAUGCGGACAUGCAAGAAAGGCUCAUAUAAUUCAGUGAUGUAAGUUGUGAAAUAAUCUGCUUCCUUGGUGAGAUAGUAGAUCACUAUUUAACACCACCAAGACAAGCACUUCCAGCCUCUUUUAUUUAAGUACUGAACUGCCCUGGCUCUGUAGCUAAAAGUCUGUUGCUACCAGAUGAUGAUGAAGUCAGAGGCAAGAUAACUGGAGAUAAACCUUCACAGAUAUUUCUGUUCCUGAAAUUACUUCCUUUUCUAUGCUCUGCAACUGGCCAUGGGUCACAAGUUUGUUAUUCCCUCUUAAUGUUAAUAAAGCUAAGACAAUUCAACUGACUGAAGAUCAGGUCCUAAAUUUUUGAUGUCCUUGAUAUCCGUCUGUCCUUGUCACCAAGAUAGUGAAACACAGGCAAUGUUUAGGGUCUCAAGUGAGCAAUCUGUGUCUAAAACACUACUGUUACUAGCCCAUAUACUCCACGGAUCACUGCCUGGAUCACAAAAAGUCAGUUUUUGUCUACAUGCUUUCUCGUGUGUGCCUUUUUCUUCCCCCUUCAUAUUCCUCUGUUUGUAUCUGCAAAUGAGCAGUAAUGUAAUUAUUUUGGAAUAGGGAAAAAAAGGAGAGAUGAACAUGACUUUUAAAUACUUCCUUAAAUCUUUUUCUAAGUCACACAUUAUUCUAUAAUUGAGAAUCCCCAGCAGCAGAUUUUUUCACAAAAUGACAGCUUCGGUCCACUACACACAUUUACAUGGAAACUCUCACUCAGAGGGAGUGCCACAACAAAGAUAAAAUCCCAAAGACUGACACUUUGCUGUUAUGAUGUUGUGGAAUAAUAUAGUGUUUUCUGACCCCAAACUUUUCUCCCCUUUGAAAGCAAAUAAGUUGGAAAGUGCUCCUCAAGAAGAUCAGUGAGAAGAGUACAGAGCAUCCUGCAACUUGGGACUGGAGCUUCUGCCUCUUAUUACCAGUUUCUCAGCCCACCUACCUUAACUUCAGAGAUGCAGGAGGAAUGGAGUAUAUGGGAAAUGUAAAUGGCUCAACAAUGCCCAGAAAAUAGCAGGAAGAAGAGUGUAUAGCAAUGAAAAAAAAAAGAGAAAAUACAGAUACAAAACCGAGGAAAUAUCAGUGCUGUUUGUACAGUUCUAUUGUGAGUGUUAUUCUGAGGAGGCCAGGAAUGCUAGGCAGGGGGUCUGUGGUCUAUGGUUUGUUUUUCCAUCAAUACAUAUGUCUGACUUCGAGUAAAAGAUUAACGAGACAGCUAGCAAAUGUCCUAGGAGACAAAUGGAUAAAAUGCUGUUUGUACAUGUCAGAUCAGGGAGGGCUCAUUCUCAUCUCUCAUUCUCUGAAUGAAUCUGCAAGGAUGCACACCUGCACCAGGAAGAUUUCCUUGACGAGGUAACCCUUUCCACUGCAGAACACAUUGAGCACGUCAGCAUACAGCUUACCUGACACGUACAUUCUUUCGGUCAACGUGGUUUGGAAAGAACCUUCCACCUACUUUUUUCUGCAUGUGACGUACUUUGUUGCAUGUUACAGAAAAGCCCCAGGUAAAGUAAAUGGAAACUCUAACCAGCAGCUAUGCACCUGGUGUUUUUGCAUUUCCCAACAGAUAUUACAGUUGCUGGAAUGAUAUGUGAAACUUCUACAACACCUCCUAUUGACAAUUUAGUUAAGGUGUGGCAUGAGAGAGAUCUGUGUUAUAGAUACUAAUGACCCAUAGCCUGUUGCUAAACAGAAGGAAUAAAGGAACCAAGGAAAUGUGCAGGUCUGGGAGAAAAACAAACAAAAAAAACCCACUAAAACUCUACAGAUAUUUACAUUCUCUUGCAUUUGACAACAACCGGUCUGUUGCAGGCUGAGAAGAUUACAAGCAGGUUUUCACACAGUUUCAUUUUCCAGGGAUGGUCACGGUGGUGGACAGAACAAGAAAGCUGUAACUAAAGUUUGUCCUUCCCUAGGUAUCAAGAACUCUGCUGCAUUUUCCUCUUCUGUCGGCAAUUUGUGCUAUUUGUGAUCCUACAGAGCUGAUGGUGUAAUGCAGUUGGCCUGAGUCCCAUUGCAAGGAAUGCAGCGCUGCCAAGUCAACCACCCGUACUAACCACAAUCUCCCUGCAGAUCUCACUCACCUGGCAGCUCAGCUUUGUUUAGUAACGUAAAUAAAAAUGAGAGCACCUUUUCCUUUCUUCGCUGCCCUCCUCCAUCUUUUGGGGGUCUUUUCUGGGAAAAUGCAAGGGAGUUAAGCAGGUUCCCCAGGGCUAAAAGUGACCCAUCACUUAUAACAUGUAACACUGUCAUAACCUUCAACAUCUCUCAUGUUCUGAUUUCUGCUUUACCUGAAACCUGAGAAGUGUGAGUCACGACCAUUUCCCUUAUACCACAAUGAGGAGGAAUGCUGAUAUGUGGGAACUGAUGAAGAAGCACAAGGGAACCAAUGUUCACCUCUUCAUCCCAACGAAAUCUGCUGGUGAAUCACAGGCUGCAAAAUACAACUGAGCAAGUUAAAUUCCACUUCCCUUGAACACGGAAGCAAGUAGUACAUUUUGUCACAUGGCCACAUCAGCAUAUCGCAACAACAAGCAGAGUCACCUGGUGAAACGACCCAUUCAGAGAUUUAGAGGGAAAAUUUCCUUAGGGCAGGUGGCACUGGACAUCUGGCAGCCCUCUAACUUUUGUUCUGAGAGUAAUACCUACGCUGGAGGGCAUCCUGCCAGGAGCUGCACCCACCUGAGACACGGCCAGCUCAAGAUGAAAGGGAACACAAAAUUCAACAGGACAGUUAUCUUUUACUGAUGUUCAGGACCGAGGUACCUGGGAACACAAUAGCUCCCCUUAGGUUUUGGUACUGUUUGGUAAUGUCAGGCAGCUAAGAAAGUUAAUCAGGCCAGAGACAGGCUUCUAUAUGCUUUCUCCACAAGGAUUAAGAACUACUUGCCAAGUAUUCAGAUUGGGUAAUUGCUACCUGGAUUAGCAAAGGGUAUGCAGCCCAAAAAUAAAAUAAUUGCUGAGAGUUUCUGAUAGAUUGCAUCACUCCAUGCCAAAGUAUAUGGCAGAAUGAGAAUCAUCAACAUAUGAUGUAAGGAUACAAGACUGCUCAUAGUACAGACACCACAGCUGAACCCUUUGUGGCUGGCUGAAGGAGAAAAAAUAUUAACACUCACAUUCUGCUUAUAGGAAAGCAAUAAUCUGAUUCUGAACUCCAGAAGCAUUUGUGGAAUCCACAGACUGCCCAAAAUAAUAUUUCCUUUCUUAGAACACAGGGGACAAACAUUCAUCCUUGCUCAAAAACGUAAAUUUGACCAAAGCUAAUUUUACCCCAGUGUCAAACUAUGAGAUCAUUGUUCUAUCAGCAUACAAGUUUAGCAUCACAUACUUUGUGACCAAAUGCAACCUGGAGCAGAGCCUAUACUGUCCAUCAGGAGUGCUGCUCACAGGAUAAAAACAUACAUCAUCCAUUGUAUUUGACUAAAUAGACCGAGUGAAACUCAAGUUUCUUCUUACAUAAAUGAUUAGGUGUUACAAAGAUAUACGGAAACAUCAGGUAUUCCGCAUAUUACAACAUGAUUAUAUGCAAGAGUGUAAGAUUCCUGAACUAUUUUAGUGGUCCUUUUCUUCUCUGUAUCCACACAGUAAUACAAUCAGGGGAAGAGAACAGAAAUUAUUCAAAUUUUCACUCCUUUCCCAUCAGCCAUGCAUACAGUGCUGACUCAGGAACAAACAUUAAAAAGCAAGAGUCAUGAGGGAACGUACAAAUCCAAUUGUACGUCUCCCAAGGGAAGUCAUUACAACAGUGUCAAACAGGCCUUAAGUAGGAGGAAUGAAUGAACAGGAAGGGGGAAUAUUUGGCAGGAUGGAAAAAAAAAGCACUGGUAGAGAAGGUCCCGAUAACAGCAAACUACAUCAACGUGCUCAGCACCCAAACUGCACUGCAAUCCUAAGGUUUUUAAGGAGGAAAGUGGUAGCGUGUAUCAAGCAUUCAUAAGGAAGACAUGAUAUAGAAAUAAAGGAGAGGCACAGCAUUAAAAUAUCCAGUGCAUGGCCCAGUUAUGUGUGCCAUUAGAAGAUUACACUCCUCGUUGUUUUGUUACGUUUACAACUAAAAUCAUUAAUUUUUGACAUAACUGCAAACAGACGAAAAACUAAAUCUCUAAAAAUGCAGGAAGACAGCAUUAUUAUUAGGGCUUAUUCAAACUACCAAACCUGGCCAUGGAUGAAAUAUUAAUUAAAGGUUGCAUUUGGAACCUUCAGAAAAAUGAUUAUUCAACACAGCAAUGAUGUUUUGCCCAAUUGUUUAAUAAAAUUUUAUCUUACUGUGCAGCCAAGCUUAGACCAAAAACGUUAGCGAAUAAAGGAUCACAGAGCUCUAAUGACAGGCUGAAACUGGGGAAAGACAUGUGUGUAUUAAUAUUUAGCUUCAGAAAAUAUGCAAAUUGCUUAAAUAUCACUGCUUUUGUCUUCCGUAAGAGAUAAUGGUUAAAUAGUCAACCUUAUUUCAAUGACGGGUAGAUCAUCAAAUUAGCACCUAAAUUAAGGAUCCAAUUAGUCUCUAAUAAAUAAUUUGUCAAUAAAAGCAAAACCAGUACGAUUUAA